Molecule: ribosomal RNA, 325 nt
Filed under: Nitrososphaerota archaeon
Lineage: Archaea; Thermoproteati; Nitrososphaerota
Description: Thaumarchaeota archaeon partial 23S ribosomal RNA
Rfam family: Archaeal large subunit ribosomal RNA
Source: RNAcentral
CUACCUGAUGGAAGCGGUGGUUCACUGAGGGGAAGCCCUGCCCAGUACGAGAGGAACAGCGGGGCGUUGCCUCUGGCGUACCGGUCGUCCGAGAGGGCGUCGCCGGGCAGCUAAGCAAUUGUGGAUAACCGCUGAAAGCAUCUAAGCGGGAAGCCACUCCCGAGAAGAGUGAGCCUUUCGUCUUAACCCCCGGCGCAAGCUGGGGGAGCGGAUGGAGGAGGGGGGCGAUAGAAGAUCGCGUUGAAGGAUCAGCCGUGUACGCUAGAAGUUCGCAAGAACGACUAGUUCAGCGGGUCUGACACCUAUACCCCAACGCAGGAUGAGG